UAUUAGUACAUGCUAACGAUAUUCAAAAAGUACAUACCUCAAAGAAAACGAUGACGCGAGUUAUCGUCUCUAACGUUCGAGGACUACAAAAAACACUCGGAUUGUAGGCAACAGUUUACUUCCUGGGAUUAGUGACGUAGAUAAGACCAACAUUAUCAUAGUUCAGCCCUCUCUGCUUUGCUUGGGUACGCCCUCAAAGACGAGGGUGGGGAGCGCCGAGUCAGAAGAGAGCUAAAAUGGCGGAGGUUGGGAGUCCCUGCUUUUACUCUGUUUGCAAACUCUUGUUUCAUCGUUUAAGCGAUUAAAUCUCUCGAGUAGACGCUGUCUCUUUAGAUGCGAGGGCAAAAUAGCACUUUAUGGACUUCCACAGAGGACAUCAUGUUUAAUACGGUUCCGGAAAAAUCCAGUCAGAAGUUGUUCACGGAGUUUUCACAAUAACUGCUUCUCAUGAACCGAAGCUGGAUUUGCGCGACGUCUCCUCCUGAAAGUUGGAUUACUGUGCACUUCUGGAUCACAGGCUCUGGACACAUCCUUCUACACUGUAUGCAAACAUGCAACAUCAUUACACACAGUACAAGGAGUCAGACUGGCAUAUGAGGAGCAAAGGUGUGUAACACAUAUGAUGUAUUUAGCUAGUGAAACCACUACCAGUCUUAAAUGUAUAACUGAUGAUGACAAAGUUUUUUUUCUCUGCAUAAUCAUAGGAACCCAGACAGUAGCAUCGUUUCACAAUGUUUCCAUCACCAUCAUCAGUGGAUGCCUUUGCCGUCCGUAGCCUGAGAUUUCAGAUUUGCAGCAAAAAAAUUUGAUUUUCUCAUUUAUUGGAAUGCUAUGCAGGUUGUACCUUGCAGCCAUCCAUUACAAUGUCACCAAGCCGUAACAAAAGCAGGAGAGGGAAAGUACAAGGCUAUGUUCCCAAAACACACAAAUGACAUACCUUAUGUGGAUGAUGUGAUCAGGCUUGUGUUUGAUGAGGUAUUUGAAGAUAAGCUGAAGGAAACCCC
Paramisgurnus dabryanus is the source of this 1004-nucleotide non-coding RNA. NCBI's taxonomy places the organism in Eukaryota, Metazoa, Chordata, Actinopteri, Cypriniformes, Cobitidae. The record is from RefSeq and is a predicted model, not a curated record.